GGUUUCGUAGUGUAGCGGUUAUCACGUCUGCUUUACACGCAGAAGGUCCUGAGAUCGAUCCUUAGCGAAAUAA
Saccoglossus kowalevskii is the source of this 73-nucleotide non-coding RNA. The record is from the annotation of a RefSeq genome assembly. NCBI's taxonomy places the organism in Eukaryota, Metazoa, Hemichordata, Enteropneusta, Harrimaniidae.